UCGAGAAUUUUUCUCAAUGGCGAAAGCCUGAAGGAGCGACGCCGCGUGGGGGAUGAAGGGCUUCGGCUCGUAAACCCCUGUCAUUCGCGAGCAAACCUUUUCGUCAAACAAACGAAAAGCUGAUAGUAGCGAAAGAGGAAGGGACGGCUAACUCUGUGCCAGCAGCCGCGGUAAUACAGAGGUCCCAAGCGUUGUUCGGAUUCACUGGGCGUAAAGGGUGCGUAGGUGGUCGGUCAAGUUCGGUGUGAAAUCUCCGGGCUCAACUCGGAAAAGGCAUUGAAUACUGUCCGGCUAGAGGGUCGAAGGGGAGACUGGAAUUCUCGGUGUAGCAGUGAAAUGCGUAGAUAUCGAGAGGAACACCAGUGGCGAAGGCGAGUCUCUGGACGACUCCUGACACUGAGGCACGAAAGCUAGGGGAGCAAACAG
This 426-nucleotide ribosomal RNA is filed under the name uncultured bacterium. RNAcentral describes it as "bacterial SSU rRNA". It matches the Rfam family "Bacterial small subunit ribosomal RNA", at positions 355 to 775 of the family's 1533-position model. The record is from RNAcentral.